This 776-nucleotide ribosomal RNA is filed under the name uncultured Neocallimastigales. RNAcentral's name for it is "partial large subunit ribosomal RNA". It matches the Rfam family "Eukaryotic large subunit ribosomal RNA", at positions 23 to 616 of the family's 3401-position model. Lineage: Eukaryota; Fungi; Neocallimastigomycota; Neocallimastigomycetes; Neocallimastigales. The record is from RNAcentral.
AAGAGAGAGACAUGCGCGCAUAUCAAUAAGCGGAGGAAAAGAAACUAACAAGGAUUCCCCUAGUAACGGCGAGUGAAGCGGGAAGAGCUCAAAUUUGAAAUCUUAAAGGGUUUCCCUUUACGAAUUGUAGUUUAAAGAAGUGUUUUCUGUUGAGGUUUUGGUAAAAGUUCUUUGGAAUAGGACAUCAUAGAGGGUGAGAAUCCCGUAUUUGACCUUUACUUUCAACUUUGUGAUACACUUUCAAAGAGUCGGAUUGUUUGGGAAUGCAGUCCAAAAUGGGUGGUAAAUUUCAUCUAAAGCUAAAUAUUGGCGAGAGACCGAUAGCGAACAAGUACCGUGAGGGAAAGAUGAAAAGAACUUUGAAAAGAGAGUUAAACAGUACGUGAAAUUGUCAAAAGGGAAGCGUUUGACACCAGUGUUGUUUUUCUGAAAAUCAAUUAAAGAACUGUUUAUGCUAAGCUGUUUAGACUUUAUCAGCUAUCUGUUUAGUUUUGAGCUUUUCUUUAAUGCACUUUUCAGUUAACAAGUCAACAUCAAUUUCUUUUGCUGUAAAAGAGCUUGAGGAAGGUGGCUUGAGAUUCGUCUUAAGUGUUUAUAGCCUCUUGCCUAUGCAGUCGGAGAGAUUGAGGUCUGCAGCGUAGAUCCUUCGGGGCUAAAUGCAUUUGUGCUAAGUUAUAGCAUUUUAUAGGACAACUUGUUGACUAUGAUUUGUCUUGUAGCUUACUCGCUUAUGUUAUUUUACCUACGCUUAGGAUGUUGAGCGCAUGUCUCUCUCU